CAGUCGCCGCGGUAAUACGAAGGGGGCUAGCGUUGUUCGGAAUUACUGGGCGUAAAGCGCACGUAGGCGGCUUUGUAAGUCAGAGGUGAAAGCCUGAAGCUCAACUCCAGAACUGCCUUUGAGACUGCAUCGCUUGAAUCCAGGAGAGGUGAGUGGAAUUCCGAGUGUAGAGGUGAAAUUCGUAGAUAUUCGGAAGAACACCAGUGGCGAAGGCGGCUCACUGGACUGGUAUUGACGCUGAGGUGCGAAAGCGUGGGGAGCAAACAGGAUUAGAUACCCCAGUAGUCCCUGUCUCUUAUAC
This 301-nucleotide ribosomal RNA is filed under the name uncultured bacterium. RNAcentral describes it as "partial 16S ribosomal RNA". It matches the Rfam family "Bacterial small subunit ribosomal RNA", at positions 509 to 807 of the family's 1533-position model. The record is from RNAcentral.